GACGAACGCUGGCGGCGUGCUUAACACAUGCAAGUCGUACGGUAAGGCCCUUUCGGGGGUACACGAGUGGCGAACGGGUGAGUAACACGUGAGUAACCUGCCCACAACUUUGGGAUAACGCUAGGAAACUGGUGCUAAUACUGGAUAUGUGCUCCUGCUGCAUGGUGGGGGUUGGAAAGCUCCGGCGGUUGUGGAUGGACUCGCGGCCUAUCAGCUUGUUGGUGGGGUAGUGGCCUACCAAGGCGGCGACGGGUAGCCGGCCUGAGAGGGUGACCGGCCACAUUGGGACUGAGAUACGGCCCAGACUCCUACGGGAGGCAGCAGUGGGGAAUAGUGCACAAUGGGCGCAAGCCUGAUGCAGCAACGCCGCGUGCGGGAUGACGGCCUUCGGGUUGUAAACCGCUUUCAGCAGGGACGAAGCUUUUUGUGACGGUACCUGCAGAAGAAGCACCGGCUAACUACGU
This 464-nucleotide ribosomal RNA is filed under the name uncultured bacterium. RNAcentral describes it as "partial 16S ribosomal RNA". It matches the Rfam family "Bacterial small subunit ribosomal RNA", at positions 28 to 506 of the family's 1533-position model. The record is from RNAcentral.